Molecule: long non-coding RNA, 359 nt
Filed under: Gossypium barbadense (sea-island cotton)
Lineage: Eukaryota; Viridiplantae; Streptophyta; Magnoliopsida; Malvales; Malvaceae
Description: long non-coding RNA (GBAR_LNC003433)
Source: RNAcentral
GGAAAUGUUUGAGAAAGAGGAGUCUAAAUUGUGACUAUCUCAUCGGAUUUUCUGUCAAAGAUAUCAAUUGAACGAGGAGAUGAAAUAUUGCGUCAGUGAUACAACCUCAAGGAAUAACGAGUAACCCAAGCAUAAAAUGGGAUAGUUCUCGAAAAAAAUGACAUUCUACAUUCCUGCAUACACAUCUGGUCAUGUUACCUAGUCCAAUUGAUUGAAGAAGCCACAAAUCCUGUACCCUUGAGCUGUGAUGGAUUGGAUUGAAGAUGAUACAAAUCCUAUACCAUUGAGUUGUGGUGGGAUGGAUGAAAGAAACCAAAUUUUAUCUCCCUGAAGUCGCAGUGUUGCUAACCAGCUGAGCA